GGCGACGUAGCCAAGUGGUCUAAGGCAGAGGUUUGCAAAACCUCCAUUCGGCGGUUCGAAUCCGCCCGUCGCCUCCA
RNAcentral lists this transfer RNA (77 nucleotides) under Chloroflexota bacterium. Its description in RNAcentral is "Chloroflexi bacterium tRNA-Cys". It matches the Rfam family "tRNA". Rfam says of the family: Transfer RNA (tRNA) molecules are approximately 80 nucleotides in length. Their secondary structure includes four short double-helical elements and three loops (D, anti-codon, and T loops). RNAcentral also lists the same sequence under 3 other names. Lineage: Bacteria; Bacillati; Chloroflexota. The record is from RNAcentral.